AACAAAUCCUGUGGUCAAAUCCAAGGGGGAAGGAAGGGAAAGCAGAAGUUGAACAAAACUUCCGAUCCAAUGCUGCAGUUGUUACACAAAAUCAACGCAUUUCCCAGAAGCAGAGUAACAGAAUGUCGGUGCUGGAUGUGAAUAUGAGACACUGUGCUCUGUGUGCUGGGGUUAUUCUCACUCCUCUACCAUGGACAUGCUCAAGAUGCUGUGUUGACCAUUGAACCAAACUUGUCCACUUUAUUUACCGGAGAGUCUGUUACCUUCAUAUGUGACAUGAGGGAAGGAGAAGACACCGACUGGCAAUACUCAUUCUUGAUGGAUGGUCGAGUAUUUGUCUCCGACUCAAAUAAGAGAUAUACUUUACAACAACUAGCUACAGGUCACAGUGGUGUAUACCAGUGCUUUGGUGAGCACAAAAUCUUGCCACCUUUUAGAAAAGAAAGUAAUAAAUUCUCUCUAACUGUAUCAGACAGAGAUGUGAUCCUGGAAACUCCUGCAUCCACUUUGUUUGAAGGAGAAUCAGUGACUCUGCGCUGUAGACAUCGUACUCCGACAGAGGAGAAGAAUGCUGUCUUCUACAAAGACGGAUCAACUAUUCAAAUAGACACAAACCAUCAGUCACUGAUAAUAUCAAAAAACACAGUUCAAGUAAAAUCAGAUUGGAGCUCUUACAUGUGUAAAUUUGAGGAUGAAGAAUCCGAACCAAUAAAACUGAAACUGGAACGUAAGUAGUUUUUAUACUAAGGCAGGCAUUCCAAGAGUGAAGCAAAGUGAUGAUUUCUCUGCAUUAUCGUAGAGGCACUGAAAACUUAACAAAGGGGAAAAAGAGAAUGAUUAAAUAAGUUAUGUAUUAUUUCCUACAAUUAGUUGUGGCACCACCAAGGAUGCUGGAUGAAAAUGUAUUAUUCAUUUGAAUUAUCUUUCAAACUGGACUAGGUCACAUGGACAAUAAUUACUACUUUUUAUGUCUUUAUUCUAAAUGAAACAGCCCAACCAAAGGCCCAACUGAGCAAAGAUGUUUCAGCAGAGGGCAGUGUGACCCUGACCUGCUCUGUGAACCCAUCAUCAUCAUCAUCAUCAUCUGGUUGGAAAUACUUCUGGUACAGAGAAGAGAAAACCUCUGAACCCCUGACCUCACAAGAUGUUCUUCUCUCAAAUUAAACAAUCAGUGUCUCAGUAGGAGGAGUCUAAUGGUGCAGAGGAGGAAGAGGAGAGCCUGUUUACUACACAGAGUACAGCGACCCAGUCGAAAUCUCUCCAUUUCCUGUGCUGUUGAUUGUUGGUCUGGUUGGUAGAGUUUUACUGAUUCUUCUCCUGCUGCUGUUUCUGUAUCGCUACAGAAAGUCAAACGAUUUAUGCUUCAGCAGGUCUCAGAGCACCAAUCAGAGCCAUGCUACUGACCACAUGACCAACGAGGUGGAAGCUUCUCUUCUCCAUGGUGAUGCUUGUCUCUAUGAAACAAUCAAAGGCCCUGAAGAACCUGAACAUGGGAGGAAUAAAGAACCAGAGGACAGCCUUUACUCCAAUGUGACGAUAGGAUCAGCUGCAGCUCAAUAAAGACAUCUGAGGACAAAACCAAUGGAAUGGGUGACAACUUAUAUGACCACAUUGUUGUUUAAGCAGUAUUUGCAACUUAAAUAAAAAGUGUGAUUAUUGUGUGCACUUCUGCUAUUAGACAGUAUUUUGUACAGUUGACCUUAUAGCAGAUCACUGAAAGGAAAUACAUCAUAUGGCUUUAAUCUUUUGUUGUAAUUGGUGAAAAGCCUAUGGAGUUUUACAUAAAAUAAUUAAAUAUUUAUAGUGAGUUUUUAUGUCCUGUAUUUCUUCUUUGGUAAACUGUCCCUCUGUUUUUUAAAGCUCCUAUACUUCGAAUGGAUGGUGUCUCCAAAAGCAGCAAAAAUAAUCGGUUUUAAAUAUUUGGGCUUCAUGUGAUAGUUCAGUUACAAAGUCAGCAUCUCUUUCAUUGAUGAUGAAAAAGCUUUACACAUUUAUAAUAUUGGAUUUCAAAAGAAAUAAAUCCUUUUGCACACA
This is an RNA transcript of Perca flavescens (yellow perch), 2034 nucleotides long. It is a transcript of the gene named Fc receptor-like A, with no coding region annotated. NCBI's taxonomy places the organism in Eukaryota, Metazoa, Chordata, Actinopteri, Perciformes, Percidae. The transcript is spliced from 10 exons. The record is from RefSeq and is a predicted model, not a curated record.